AUUACGAAAGGAUCACUAUUUCAGAUAAGAAUGCAGCCCGGGGUAGUUGCUAUUGGGCUGAUUGCUGCAGUUGCAGUUGUAUUGCAGUACGCUCUUCAUAAGGUUGAGGAGGGUCAUGUCGGAGUAUAUUUCAGAGGUGGCGCGAUGUUGGUUGGUAUGUCAAGUCCAGGCUUUCACAUGAUGAUCCCAUUCAUAACAUCAGUUCGAAAUAUCCAGACUACCCUGCAGACCGAUGAAGUAAAGAAUGUGCCGUGUGGUACCAGUGGUGGAGUUAUGAUAUACUUUGACAGAAUUGAGGUAGUGAACGUACUGCAGACCAAUGCUGUUUACGAUAUUGUAAAGAAUUUUACAGCGGACUACGAUAAACCUCUGAUAUUUGACAAGGUUCACCACGAGUUAAACCAGUUCUGUUCUAUACAUAAUCUACAGGAGGUUUAUAUCGAACUGUUUGACCAAAUUGACGAAAAUCUAAAGACAGCGUUGCAGGUCGAUUUGACUGAAAUGGCCCCAGGGUUAAGAGUUCAUUCUGUUCGUGUUACCAAGCCUAAAAUUCCAGAAACCAUCAGGAAGAACUAUGAGUUGAUGGAAGCAGAGAAGACCAAACUGUUGAUCUCGACCCAGCGGCAGAAGGUUGUGGAGAAGGAUGCAGAGACGGAGAGGAAGAAAGCUGUUAUAGAGGCAGAGAAGGAGGCGCAGGUGGCAAAGAUCAAGUACGAACAGAACCUAAUGGAGAAGGAAUCUAAGCAGAAGAUGGAAACUAUUGAUGAUGAGAUUCAUCUUGCAAAGGAGAAAAGUAAAACAGACGCCGAGUUCUAUAGGAUAGAAAAGAAAGCAGAAGCAAAUAAACGUCUGCUUACGAAGGAAUAUCUUGAACUCAAGAAAAUCGAAGCAAUUGCCAGUAAUAACAAGGUUUACUUUGGACCCAGUAUUCCAAAUAUGUUCCUGGGAGAGUCUGAGAAUAAACCCAGGCCAUCAUCUACUGUAUCCUCUCAGAAAACAGAACACAUCCCAGUCCCUCUUUAGUCAUAGAUAGAUACACACACACUUAUUGUUAAUACAGGGUGUCCCAAUAAAGAUUAAUUAAGACAGUUGACUUUUUUUAAUUUCCUCAUUCCUUCACUUUUCGCUUGACCCAGAAAUAAGUUUAGCUUUAAACUUCAAAGAAAAGGCGCGCUUUUCUUAAAUUAGCUUUUUUUAAAGUUGUUUAUUUUUCAUUCUCCACAAUACUCACAUUUUAAUAAAAAAAAGUUUCAACGAUUUUUUACCAUUUCAACACUUAAACAUAAAGAUGGGUAAGCAAAUAAACACCUAACCCUGAAAAAAAUAUUUUUCAUGUCUGAUUUUUUUUCCGAUUACUUAUUUAAUGAUAUCUCGAUGAAAGUCUGAAAUUGCCAUGUUUUGAAAGUAUGUGAUACGUGGAUUUUUGUGAUUUAUUACUGUGAUUAUUAUCAUUUAACGAGCUCAUAAUAAACCUUAAUUUGUUUC
Molecule: unclassified non-coding RNA, 1485 nt
Filed under: Eurytemora carolleeae
Lineage: Eukaryota; Metazoa; Arthropoda; Copepoda; Calanoida; Temoridae
Description: erlin-2-B
Source: RNAcentral